AAAGUAUUUCACUUGUCUUCUUUGCCCUACUAUGACACUGUUGAACGUUUUAAAAGCAAAUGAUCAAAUCAAUACAGCAGAAACAGAAAUAUUACAUUUUUAAUUCCAAAUAUUCUUCUUCCUUUUCAAAAGCUGGUGCCUAGAUUAUCCACAAUGCAACUUGACCACUGAGUGACAUCACUUGAGGCAAUUUAUCAGAUUAUGUGCAGUUUCCUCUGGAACCACAAAAGGGUUUAUACUACUUUUUAGACAUUUACAGUAGAACUCCCCAAGACCUGUAAAAAAUAAAAUUGUUACCCUUUAAAUUUUGAAUGCCAAAUCUAUUUAGCAGUUUGACUGUAGGUACUUCAGAAGCCUAUCUCAUUUGCCUCUAGGUUAUUCUCACCUAGUGUUUACUAAUUAUUGACCUUAUUAUAAUUUUUCUUCUUAAAAAUCUUAUUAUGGUAAGCAUAAUUCAUUUGUUCCCUAAAGGUUGCUGCCACUGCAGCUGAUGUUGAGACAACUCUCAGUCUUCCUGCAAGUCCUCGCCUGAUACUGCCUGUUUCAGGUGCAACAGGGCAAGUCACAAUUAAAGGUUGGAUGAUCACCUUAGAGGGCCGUGUAAUCUCUGAGGGCAUCACACCAACAUUUGCAACAGGACUUGCUGCUGUGUUCGCAAUCUACUACAUAUUCAACCUUCAAUAUCAAGAUGAGGCAGCCUGCACUCUUGAAUUCAUUCAGAGGCGCUUCAUUGGUAUAAAUCCAGAGAGAGGGACCAAGGCCAAAAGGGGCAAGGUUGUCUCCAAGAAGAAAGGUGUGAUCGUCCAGAAGAAGUAUUCUGCAGUCAAUACACACGUCGCCAUGCUACUGAAGAAUCUCCUUGACUUUGAAUGGAACUUCAUAUAGAUCGUGGCAACACUGGAAUAAUGCUGCAGAGAGGAGCUGCAGCUACCAAAGUGAUGGUCAUCUCUCCUGGAUCCACAAGUACUAAGACGUAUAAACACACGCCUACCUCACAGGACUAUUUUAAGAGUUAACCUGCAAGUCUAGCUCGCAGUGGCACAGGUGCCUACCU
Molecule: long non-coding RNA, 1054 nt
Organism: Rhinichthys klamathensis goyatoka
Lineage: Eukaryota; Metazoa; Chordata; Actinopteri; Cypriniformes; Leuciscidae
Exons: 5
Source: RefSeq, a predicted model, not a curated record